AAGGAUCAUUACCUAGAGUUGUAGGCUUUGCCUGCUAUCUCUUACCCAUGUCUUUUAAGUACCUUACGUUUCCUCGGCGGGUCCGCCCGCCGAUUGGACAAUUUAAACCAUUUGCAGUUGCAAUCAGCGUCUGAAAAAACUUAAUAGUUACAACUUUCAACAACGGAUCUCUUGGUUCUGGCAUCGAUGAAGAACGCAGCGAAAUGCGAUAAGUAGUGUGAAUUGCAGAAUUCAGUGAAUCAUCGAAUCUUUGAACGCACAUUGCGCCCCUUGGUAUUCCAUGGGGCAUGCCUGUUCGAGCGUCAUUUGUACCUUCAAGCUCUGCUUGGUGUUGGGUGUUUGUCUCGCCUCUGCGUGUAGACUCGCCUCAAAACAAUUGGCAGCCGGCGUAUUGAUUUCGGAGCGCAGUACAUCUCGCGCUUUGCACUCAUAACGACGACGUCCAAAAGUACAUUUUUACACUCUUGACCUC
Molecule: ribosomal RNA, 472 nt
Filed under: Coniella diplodiella
Lineage: Eukaryota; Fungi; Ascomycota; Sordariomycetes; Diaporthales; Schizoparmaceae
Description: eukaryotic LSU rRNA
Rfam family: 5.8S ribosomal RNA (bases 152-305)
Source: RNAcentral